RNAcentral lists this long non-coding RNA (1828 nucleotides) under Homo sapiens (human). RNAcentral's name for it is "HSALNT0084998". Lineage: Eukaryota; Metazoa; Chordata; Mammalia; Primates; Hominidae. The record is from RNAcentral.
CAGACUGCACAGAUGGAACAUGGAAAGGCUUUUAACAGAAAUGAAUACUUUCAGACUAGGUUUGAAGGACUGAGUAGGAGUAAACUAAAAGAGAAAAAGCAGGACAAAAGAAGCACCACUUUGGAAGCUCAAAGCCGCACUGGAAACACAGUCUUUCAGGAUGUCUGAAAGGGGCAAGUCUGUUUGUGUGGGAUAUACAGGGAGUCCACGGAGCCUCCCCUGCAAGCAUCAGUACAGAAGUCGAUGAUAAUCUGGAUGCAAGCCCAGGAGUGUGGAGUCCACUGACUCAGAAGACCUGCAUCUAAGGAAUUGGCUGUUCUUAUCCUUAAGAAUGAUGACUGUGUUUCCAAUUCCAGUAGACCCUUUGAUGCGUUCUGAAUAAAUAUUCCUUUUGGAAUUGAACUUCUAGAGCCCUUAACUUUGGCCCACUCUAGUUUUCUGUCUGUUUUUUUUUUUUUUAAUAUUUUUUUUUUGUAAAGAUAAGGUCUUGCUUUGUUGCCCAGGCUGGUCUUGAAUUCCUGGACUCAAGCAAUCCACCUGCCUUGGCCUCCCAAAGUGCUGGGAUUAUAGGUGUGAACCAUUGUGUCCGAUCGCUCUCUGGUUUUUCUAAUAUCAUGAUCCCAACUCUGUUCUUUAUGUAAAUUUCCCUGAUCACAUGGUUGUAUCUUGGCAUUUCAAAAUCCUUGACAGACUUUGUUUUGUUUGAAUUUUACAAUGAACUUACAUGACUAGGCACGGUCCCCAGUUCAGUUUUAUAGACAAGGAUUCUGUAGGUCAAGAAGUGAAACACAACCAAUAACAGCAGGUGACAGGAUUUAAACCUGGGUCACUUUACUUAUUUUUUUCUACUCUAUCAUUAUGUGAAUCUAUCCUACCUCUGCAAUGACAGAUGGCCCUAGAGCAAGAACACUUCCUUACAUCUGGUAUACAGUCAAAAAGUAAAAAUUCCACACAAAUAAAUAUGGAAAGAAUUUUUACCUGCUCCUAUAGCUUCCUUUCAGGGACCUGGCACCCACAAAUGUUGGGUAACAGAAAGAGGACUUAUGUAACUUAACUCAAAGCAGAAAAGUUACAGAGACUGUCUUAGCAUAAUAGAGCAUGGAGUGGUCAUGCUUGGAUGUGCAAACUGUCUGAUAGUCUUGCACAUGGCUUGACCCCGAAUUACACUAGUGGGGCAAGUUGCCUGGGGCAAAGCAAACUUAUUGGACCCAAAGCUCUCAUUUGAGAAUUUUGUUGACUAAAAGUUAUAAAAUAUCAGCAAUUUCAUAUGGUUCAGCCUAAUAUUUUAUCACUCUUCCUUUUUCUAUUCUAAAACAAUAAUUUUUAAUAACGUAAGCUAUACACAUACAUGCUUUAAACAUACAACACCCUGACUAUCAUAUAGUGGAUAUUUCAAGAAGUAAAUGUUCAGCAUGUCUUCACCCCCACUUGAAGACAUAAUGUAUGUAUUAGGCUGUUCUGGCAUUGCUAUAAAGAAAUACCUGAGACUGUGUAAUUUAUAAGAAAGGAGCUUUAAUUGGCUCACGGUUCUGCAGGCUGUACAGGAAACAUAUUGGGUCUACUUCUGUGGAGGCUUCAGGGAACUUUGACUCAUGGUGGAAGGUGAAAUGAGAGCAGGCACCUCAUGUGACUGAAGCAGGAGCAAGAAAGAGAGAGCGAGCAAGGUGCCACACACUCUUAAACAACCAGAACUCUCUCUUGAGAAUUCACUCACUGUCUUGCCGUCAGCACCAAAGGGAUGGUCCUAAACCAUUCAUGAGAAAUCCUCCUCCAUGAUCCAAUCACCUCUCACCAGGCCCUACCCCCAACACUGGGAUUACAAUUCAAC